This 292-nucleotide ribosomal RNA is filed under the name uncultured Verrucomicrobiota bacterium. RNAcentral describes it as "uncultured Verrucomicrobia bacterium partial 16S ribosomal RNA". The record is from RNAcentral. Lineage: Bacteria; Pseudomonadati; Verrucomicrobiota.
GGACUACCAGGGUUUCUAAUCCUGUUUGCUCCCCUGGCUUUCGUGCCUCAGUGUCAGGUGUUGUCCAGGGACUCGCCUUCGCCACUGGUGUUCCUCUCGAUCUCUACGCAUUUCACUGCUACACCGAGAAUUCCAGUCCCCCCUCCAACCCUCAAGCAAAGCAGUUUCCAAUGCCAUUUCCGAGUUGAGCUCGGAGAUUUCACAUCCGACUUACUUCGCCACCUACGCACCCUUUACGCCCAGUGAAUCCGAACAACGCUUGGGACCUCUGUAUUACCGCGGCUGCUGGCAC